This 72-nucleotide transfer RNA is filed under the name Lutra sumatrana (Hairy-nosed otter). Its description in RNAcentral is "tRNA-Gly". The record is from RNAcentral. Lineage: Eukaryota; Metazoa; Chordata; Mammalia; Carnivora; Mustelidae.
AUCUCUCUAGUAUUAACAAGUACAGUCGACUUCCAAUCAACCAGUUCUGGUAAAAAUCCAGAGGGAGAUACA